This 386-nucleotide ribosomal RNA is filed under the name uncultured Methanosaeta sp. RNAcentral describes it as "bacterial SSU rRNA". It matches the Rfam family "Archaeal small subunit ribosomal RNA", at positions 952 to 1338 of the family's 1478-position model. The record is from RNAcentral. Lineage: Archaea; Methanobacteriati; Methanobacteriota; Methanomicrobia; Methanotrichales; Methanotrichaceae.
GGCCAGGCUGAAGACUUUGCCGGAUUAGCUGAGAGGUGGUGCAUGGCCGUCGUCAGUUCGUACUGUGAAGCAUCCUGUUAAGUCAGGCAACGAGCGAGACCCACGCCCACAGUUGCCAGCGUACUCUCUGGAGUGACGGAUACACUGUGGGACCGCCGCUGCUAAAGCGGAGGAAGGAAUGGGCAACGGUAGGUCAGUAUGCCCCGAAUAUCCCGGGCUACACGCGAGCUACAAUGGUUGGUACAAUGGGUAUCUACCCCGAAAGGGGACGGGAAUCUCCUAAAACCAAUCUUAGUUCGGAUUGAGGGCUGCAACUCGCCCUCAUGAAGCUGGAAUCCGUAGUAAUCGCGUUUCAACAGAACGCGGUGAAUACGUCCCUGCUCCUU